RNAcentral lists this ribosomal RNA (194 nucleotides) under uncultured bacterium. RNAcentral describes it as "partial 16S ribosomal RNA". It matches the Rfam family "Bacterial small subunit ribosomal RNA", at positions 338 to 524 of the family's 1533-position model. The record is from RNAcentral.
CCUACGGGAGGCAGCAGUGGGGAAUUUUGGACAAUGGGCGCAAGCCUGAUCCAGCCAUUCCGCGUGAGUGAAGAAGGCCUUCGGGUUGUAAAGCUCUUUCGCAAGGGAAGAAAACUUACACAAUAAUACUGUGUGAGGCUGACGGUACCUUGAUAAGAAGCACCGGCUAACUACGUGCCAGCAGCCGCGGUAAU